This 433-nucleotide ribosomal RNA is filed under the name uncultured bacterium. RNAcentral's name for it is "partial 16S ribosomal RNA". It matches the Rfam family "Bacterial small subunit ribosomal RNA", at positions 29 to 507 of the family's 1533-position model. The record is from RNAcentral.
AACGAACGCUGGCGGCAUGCCUAACACAUGCAAGUCGAACGAGACCUUCGGGUCUAGUGGCGCACGGGUGCGUAACGCGUGGGAACCUGCCCUUAGGUUCGGAAUAACUCCCCGAAAGGGGUGCUAAUACCGGAUAAUGUCUUCGGACCAAAGAUUUAUCGCCUUUGGAUGGGCCCGCGUUGGAUUCGCUAGUUGGUAGGGUAAAAGCCUACCAAGGCGACGAUCCAUAGCUGGUCUGAGAGGAUGAUCAGCCACACUGGGACUGAGACACGGCCCAGACUCCUACGGGAGGCAGCAGUGGGGAAUAUUGGACAAUGGGCGAAAGCCUGAGCCAGCAAUGCCGCGUGAGUGAUGAAGGCCUUAGGGUUGUAAAGCUCUUUUACCCGGGAUGAUAAUGACAGUACCGGGAGAAUAAGCUCCGGCUAACUCCGUG